AGAUAGUAUACUUUACAAAAAUCUAUUUAUUUUGGCGGCAUUUUAUCUUAUUAGAGGAACUUGUUCUAUAAUCGAUACUCCACGAUAAAUUUCACUUUAAAAAAAAAUUUAUAUACCGCCAUUUUUCAGAAUUAAUUAAAAAUUUAUAUUCAAAACAAUAAAUAAAAAAUUAGGUCAAGGUGUAAUAUAUAUUAAAGAAUGAAUGAGUUACCAUAUAUAUAAUAUAUAAAAAAUAUUCAAAUAUAUUAAAAAAAGAAUUUAAAAGUAAUAAAAUAACAAUAAUAUUUUAUGAAUAAGAAAAUAAAUGUGC
Molecule: ribosomal RNA, 310 nt
Filed under: Cycloctenus sp. CG150
Lineage: Eukaryota; Metazoa; Arthropoda; Arachnida; Araneae; Cycloctenidae
Description: partial 12S ribosomal RNA
Source: RNAcentral